This 612-nucleotide long non-coding RNA is filed under the name Ananas comosus (pineapple). RNAcentral describes it as "long non-coding RNA (ACOM_LNC016217)". The record is from RNAcentral. Lineage: Eukaryota; Viridiplantae; Streptophyta; Magnoliopsida; Poales; Bromeliaceae.
UAAAUAUAAAUGUUGUUUUUUAAAAGAUAAUACAUAAAUGUACUGAAAAUAUGCACAUCCACUACAAAAAAAACGGUCUACAACGACACUUUUAAAUAUAGGUAUAUGUCAAAAAAGUACUGCUAGCUAAAAUUACCGACACUUUUAAAAAGUGUUGCUAUAUGUGGGGUCGCUAGGUAUAUAGUGACAGUUAAAGAGUGUCGCUAUAACCUAAAAGAGUGCUGCUAAUUUACCAACACUUAUUUAAGCAUUUAGCAACCCCCGAAACUCUAUCUCGUUGGCUGCGGUGGCGUAGGAGGACGACAGGAAAGGCUCUUCGUCUAGAAUUUCAGUGGAUUGAGUAAAGAGAGAAGAAAAGAUGGUAAUUGAUUUUUUUUUUUUCUUUUCUGCUUGUAUUCGGGUCAAUUGUACUGGGUGUGGUGGGUUGAGUAGAGUAAUCUUUUAUUUUUGGUUGGAUUGGGCUUUAUAUUUAGGCAUAAGUAAAUUUUUUUAAGUUUUAGCAUAAAUAGGACACUUACUCAAAAGUGUCCCAAACAUGUGUCCCUAUAACCUAAUUCUGUUGUAGUGAUCAUACAGUUACUUAAUAAUAAAAUUAUAAAAUAUUUGCUAUCC